GAGUUUGAUCGUGGCUCAGAUUGAACGCUGGCGGCAUGCCUUACACAUGCAAGUCGAACGGCAGCAUGAUCUAGCUUGCUAGAUUGAUGGCGAGUGGCGAACGGGUGAGUAAUACAUCGGAACGUGCCCUGUAGUGGGGAUAACUAGUCGAAAGAUUAGCUAAUACCGCAUACGACCUGAGGGUGAAAGUGGGGGACCGGCAAGGCCUCAUGCUAUAGGAGCGGCCGAUGUCUGACUAGCUAGUUGGUGGGGUAAAGGCCCACCAAGGCGACGAUCAGUAGCUGGUCUGAGAGGACGAUCAGCCACACUGGGACUGAGACACGGCCCAGACUCCUACGGGAGGCAGCAGUGGGGAAUUUUGGACAAUGGGCGAAAGCCUGAUCCAGCAAUGCCGCGUGUGUGAAGAAGGCC
Molecule: ribosomal RNA, 411 nt
Filed under: uncultured microorganism
Description: bacterial SSU rRNA
Rfam family: Bacterial small subunit ribosomal RNA
Source: RNAcentral